CUUAAGCAUGCAAGUCGAACGGCAAGAGGUAGCAAUACCUCCUAGAGUGGCGGACUGGUGAGUAACACGUGGGUGACAUACCCUUCAGAUGGGGAUAGCUAUUAGAAAUAGUAGAUAAUACCGAAUACGAGCACAGGGGUUAGAGAUCUGUGAGGAAAGGAGCUAAGGCUCCGCUGAAGGAAUGGCCUGCGGCCCAUUAGCUAGUUGGUGAGGUAAGAGCCCACCAAGGCGAUGAUGGGUAUCCGGCCUUAGAGGGUGAACGGACACAUUGGGACUGAGAUACGGCCCAGACUCCUACGGGAGGCAGCAGCUAAGAAUAUUCCGCAAUGGACGAAAGUCUGACGGAGCGACGCCGCGUGGAUGAAGAAGGCCGGAAGGUUGUAAAAUCCUUUUGAAACUGAAGAAUAAGCGUUGUAGGGAAUGACAGCGUGUGACAGUAGGUUUUGAAUAAGCAACGGCUAAUUACGUGCCAGCAGCCGC
Molecule: ribosomal RNA, 480 nt
Filed under: uncultured bacterium
Lineage: Bacteria
Description: bacterial SSU rRNA
Rfam family: Bacterial small subunit ribosomal RNA
Source: RNAcentral